UUUACUACUAACCAUUGAGGUUUUCCCUCUUGGGGAUUUACUGUUGCCUCUUUUAGCCAUGAACACCAACUGCAUAGGAAAGACCAGAAUCCCGAACAUUACGUCAUGAUUAUAUCUCUAAGAAGAGUCACAUGUCGUAGGGUUUACAAGGUUGCACCACGUGCAAACCUUUUAUUAAGAUACAGAUAUAGACGGAUCCAGUAGAUUUGUGCGGCCUCUUUGCCUGGAACAACAUCUUCCUCAUGGCGACUCGUCGGUGACAGUCUCUUUCUUGUAGCCGCCGCCUCCGCCGAACCCUCCCCCACCGCCGAAGCCGCCGCCAGCUCCUCCUCCGUAUCCACCCCCGAUCCCCGCUCCUCCGCCGUACCCACCCCCAGCACCUCCUCCGAAGCCGCCACCUCCGCCUCCUCCGAAGCCGCCACCGGCACCUCCUCCGUAUCCGCCGCCAACGCCACCUCCGUAGCCACCGCCUACGCCGCCGCCGUACCCGCCACCUACGCCGCCGCCGUACCCACCGCCGGCGCCGCCUCCAAAGCCACCACCGGCGCCGCCUCCAAAGCCGCCUCCAUACCCCCCACCGGCUCCGCCUCCGUAGCCUCCGCCGAGACCGGGGAGCCCUCCAUAGCCGCCACCAAUGCCAGGCCCGACGCCGUAACCCCUACCGUACUUAGGACGGCCGCCAUGUUUGUACCACCAUUUCUGGUCCUUCAAGGUCUCGUCUUCCAGGAGCCGCCUUGCACCGGAGGUGCAGAAGAGGGCCACGAGGAGGAGAAGGAAGAGG
Molecule: long non-coding RNA, 781 nt
Filed under: Spirodela polyrhiza (greater duckweed)
Lineage: Eukaryota; Viridiplantae; Streptophyta; Magnoliopsida; Alismatales; Araceae
Description: long non-coding RNA (SPOL_LNC002516)
Source: RNAcentral